GACUACCGGGGUAUCUAAUCCUGUUUGCUCCCCUAGCUUUCGUCGCUCAGCGUCAGAACCGGACCAGGAAACCGCCUUCGCUGCUGGUGUUCUUAGCAAUAUCUACAGAUUUCACCCUUACACUGCUAAUUCCGUUUCCCCCUUCCGGCCUCAAUUCUACCAGUUUGAAAGGCAAUUCUGCGAUUGAGCCGCAGGAUUUCACCCCUCACUUAAUAGACCGCCUACCUACCCUUUACACCCAAUAAUUCCGAGUAACGCUUGCCACCUCCGUAUUACCGCGGCUGCUGGCACGGAGUUGGCCGUGGCUUAUUCGUCAGGUACCGUCAGCUCUUGAUGUGUUAGAUCAAGAGGUUUCUUUCCUAACAAAAGCAGUUUACAACCCGAAAGCCUUCAUCCUGCACGCGGCGUCGCUCAGUCAGGCUUGCGCCCAUUGCUGAAUAUUCUCGACUGCAGCCCCCCGUAGG
Molecule: ribosomal RNA, 464 nt
Filed under: uncultured bacterium
Lineage: Bacteria
Description: partial 16S ribosomal RNA
Source: RNAcentral